This is a long non-coding RNA of Rana temporaria (common frog), 330 nucleotides long. RefSeq lists it as uncharacterized. The transcript has 2 exons. NCBI's taxonomy places the organism in Eukaryota, Metazoa, Chordata, Amphibia, Anura, Ranidae. The record is from RefSeq and is a predicted model, not a curated record.
UCCAGCCUGCAGGUGGCACAAGAGAGCACCUCUGUGCAGUGAGGGAAGGCUGGCUGUGACAUGAGGAGUGCGGAGAUCUCCGGAGGAAGAACAGAGGAGGGCCAACCAUGUCUUCCCGAUUUGCUUUUAUGACUAUCAAAAUUUGCUUUCUAUUGCACUACAUCUGAGUGGUCCUGACGAAGCUGGGCAGCCACGAAACGCGUAGAUCCACACUAAGGACUAGUGGACUAUCUAUUGUGAUGUAUUUUAGGCAGCUAUGUCAGUGCUACAUUUCUUUGAUAUUUUAAAAUUGUAUAAAAUAAAAAUUGUGUUUUUUUAAUAUAUAUAAAA